Molecule: ribosomal RNA, 372 nt
Filed under: uncultured Duganella sp.
Lineage: Bacteria; Pseudomonadati; Pseudomonadota; Betaproteobacteria; Burkholderiales; Oxalobacteraceae
Description: bacterial SSU rRNA
Rfam family: Bacterial small subunit ribosomal RNA
Source: RNAcentral
ACGGCAGCGCGGGCUUCGGCCUGGCGGUUAGUGGCGAACGGGUGAGUAAUAUAUCGGAACGUACCCAAGAGUGGGGGAUAACGUAGCGAAAGUUACGCUAAUACCGCAUACGAUCUAAGGAUGAAAGCAGGGGACCGCAAGGCCUUGUGCUCCUGGAGCGGCCGAUAUCUGAUUAGCUAGUUGGUGAGGUAAAGGCUCACCAAGGCAACGAUCAGUAGCUGGUCUGAGAGGACGACCAGCCACACUGGAACUGAGACACGGUCCAGACUCCUACGGAAGGCAGCAGUGGCGAAUUUUGGACAAUGGGGGCAACCCUGAUCCAGCAAUGCCGCGUGAGUGAAGAAGGCCUUCGGGUUGUAAAGCUCUCUUGUC